UAUAUAGAGUCCGGCUACUAUGCUAUCGGUAGCACGGAGCGCUCCGUGCUACCAAGUUGUUUUCGAUGAUGCGGCUUCCAAAUUGACGAUCGGUUCCGUUAGACUUGAUCUACACUAUUGAAAAUAUUGAGGAACUAAUUUUCAAGAUUUUUUCGCAAUCAUGUUGACUAGUGAUCAAAAGAUCUCCAAGAAUGCAUUUUAUAUGGACGAUGUUGGUGUGGUUUGUUGAGUUUGAUACGGUGUAAAACAAUCCAAAUGCGAUGAAAAUUGUAUAGAAAAUUCUAGUUCAGCUAUUUAGAUAGAUCAGAUAUAUUCUGUCUUGAAUUUAUAAUCUUUUAUCUCAUUUUUUAUCGAGAAUUUAUUUUCAGCGUUCAAUUUAGACUAAUUGUUUGAUAGGUAAAUGAUAUCGAAAAAUAUUAAAAUUUUAUUCUCUAAAUACUUUCAAUAGUGUAGAAUCAACUCUAAAGGAGCGCAUCGUCGAUUUGGAAGCCAAUCAUCUGAAAACAAGCUUGAUAGGCCGGCGAGGCUCCGUGCUAGCGAUGGUGAUAGUAGCCUAUGCUCUAUAUAUAUUAUAUUAUAUAUUAUAUAUAUUUAUAGGUCAGAUAUAGUGGCAUGUAAAAGCACAAAGCACUUUGUCUGUAUGUUUACUGUUAGAUCUGACUCUUCGGUAUUUUCAAUUUCAUAUUAGGAUAUAUACUUAUUUCAUACCAAACCACCACUAAACCCGUAGGGGCCAUAUCAUUCUAAACGAAUACCUCUUAUCUAAUGGCUAAAAUCUACAGACCAAUACUUGGUACUUUUAAAGUAAGGAGCUCGAUUCAUAUAUAAAUAUAAUAUAUAUAUAUAUAUAAUAUAUAUAUAUAGAGAGAUGAGAGAGACUUGAGAUGAGAGAGAGGAGAGACGAGAGAGACGAGAUCUAGCUCAUCACGAGAGUCUGAGAUGGAUGCGAUCUUGAGAGAGGAGAUGAUGAGAGAGGGAAGGAGAGGAGAGUGUGUGUGUGUGUGUCGUGUGUGUGUGUCUAGGUAUGGCUUAUGGAGAGCCGACGCGCUUCGUGUAUACACUUUGUUUCAUGUUCUUGACUUUCGAUCGACGAUCUGCUCUGUUUAGAUUGGAUCUUAGAAUUUUUGAAGUAUCUAGAAAAUUAAUUUUGCCGAUUUUUUUGAUAUCAUUUGCCUAGUGAUCUACCGGCCAAAGUCAACUGCUGAAAGUAAAAUCUUACAAAAUAUGUGAUAUGACAUUAAAUUUUAGAUCAAAGUUAUGAUCUUGUUUAUUAUGGUAUAAAAAUUUUCUAUCACAAACUUCACUUGCCAUUGGAUAUUUCUACAAUCGUUAACUUGCAAUGCGCGCUGCCAACGGCCAGUUAAAUUACUUGGAUGUUUGAGCCCCUUUGAUCACUAGCGCAAAUGGAUAUCGAAAAUCACAAAAUUUAUUUUUUAGGACGUUCACAUAUUGGAUCAACUCUAACGAGCAACUCGGGUGCGGGAUUCGAAAGUCGACAUCGAACAAAGUGGAAGCACGGAGCGAGCUAUCCUGUGCUGUGGCCAAUAAGCAUAACAGCUACUAGGGUAGUAUAGUAUUAGGUCUAGUAUAUUUUAUAUAGGUGUGAGCAUGGGUAGUAUAUAGUGUAGGGUGGUAGGUAUUAGGUAUUAUAUGGAGGUGUAUUGAUAGUCUGGCGCUACAUUUACUCUUGAUGAGUACGGAGGUUGCCUUCGUAUAUAAGUUGUUUUGAUAUAGGUUUUCGAAUCGACGGAUCGGGCAUACGGUCAAAUACGUAGUGCGAGAGCAUUUGAAAAUUUUAGGGGAAAUCAAAUUUCAUAAUGUUGUCGACAUGGUAGUUUAGCUUGACGAGUGCAAACGAGUCACAAAAUUGAAAUUUUUAACGGCCGUAUGGGAUUACUUGCUAGUUUAACGGGCGUGUAAGAUCAGAAUUCGGUGAAUUUUUAAUAAAAAUAUUCAUACCUAGCUAAAGGAUCAAUAACACAAAUUUUAAAUUGAAGGAUAUAUCAUCCUUUUUAGGACCGGUCGUUCUGAUUUCGACCGUUCAUUUUAUACCCGCUUGAUGGAUUUUAUUAUGAUUUCGAAAAAUUACAAAAUUUAUAUUUUAGAAGUUUCGAAUACUCUGGAUCAUAUUUAAUGGAGUAGAUCGUUGAUUCGGAAGUCCCAUCAUCGAAAAUAAUUUAUGAGUACGAAGGGCCAAAUACUCAUAAGAGUAUAGUAGCCCUAAUAUAUAUAUAUAUAUAUAUAUAUAGAAUUAGUCUGGAAUACUAUUAAUAGUAAAACGCUCUUUUUGCUAUCAAAUUUUUAACCCUUAGAUGAAAAAUUGUAGGGUCAGGAUGAUAUUAGUCGGUUAGAGUUGAGUGGUCCCCUAGGGUUGAGUGGUCCCUAUUGGAUUAUAGUAUUUAAUCCAAUGGUUAGAAAUAAUAAAAAGAGUUGAUUCAAAGGCUAAAAAACUGGUAGCAACAAUGGGAUUUUGCUACUAAUAAUAGCCUAGUCCAACUCUAUAUAUAUAUAUAUAUAUAGCGAGAGAGAGAGAGAGAGAGAGAGAGAGAGAGAGAGAAAUCCGGAGUUGAGCUAGAAUGCUAUCGGUAGUAAAUAAGCUCCGUUGUCACUUAUUUGAUUUCGAUGAUGGAGCUUCUAUAUCGAUCAUCAACACCGUUGAAUAUGAUCUAUACCAUAUGAAAUAUCUAGAAACCAAUUUUCAAAAGUUUCUAGCAUCAUUGACCGAAUGAUCAAAGGAUUUCAAAAUUUGUACUUUUAAUGGUCGAUAUAAAACGUUUUCUCGUUUAACGGUGUAAAGAUAUCCAAAUCAAUUGAAUAUAGUCUAUUUUGUACUCAUAAGAUUUUGGCUGGUAGAUCUACUCUUUAAUCAUUUCUACCCAUUAGAUCAUACUAUUCAACCAGCCACUCACUUAAGCCUAGAGGACAACUAUCAUUCUAAUCAGGGACCACUAUUAAUAGUAUUUGAACUAUUUUGCUAUCGAAUUCUUAACCCUUAGAUGAAAAAUUAUAAGGUUAGGAUAAUAGUUGCCCCCUAAGGUUUAGUGGUAGGCCCCUUAGGAUUGAGUGAUUGGUUGAAUAGUAUGAUUAUGAGUGAAAUAAUUUUAAUAGUAUAAAAAUAGAAUUUACAUUUAAUUUUUUUUGACUUUCCGAUGUAUAGGGAUUAGUGCGGAUUUGUAGAAUAGUAAUAAAGCAAGGGUGUGUGUCUAUAUAUGUAGUUGGAAUAUUUUUAAUAGUAUGGAAAUAAUACUUGUUUUCAACUUUUGAUCAUUCAAUGUCUAUGGAUUGUGCGGAUUGGUGGAAUAGUAAUAAACCAACUGCAAGGACGAAAAUGUUGAUAGUAAAUACUAUUUAUAUACUAUUAAUUAAUAGUAUAAUAAAUACACUAUAUAUAGAGCGAGAGAGUUGAUCAGCUGAAAUAAUAUUAAUAGUAUUUUGACUUUUUUGCUAUUAAUUUUUUAGCCCUUAUAUCACACUUUAAUUAAUUUUACCUUUUAAAUCAUACUAUUUAACUAACCACCCACUCAAUUCUAGAGGAACCAUCACUAAAUCCUAGAGCACAACUGUCAUCCUAAUUCUACAAUUUUCUAUCUAACGGUUAAAAACUUGAUAGCAAAAAUGCCUAAGUAUUAUUAACAAUAUUUCAGCCCAAUUUUAUAUAUAUAUAUAUAUAUUCCGGCUACUAUACUCUUAUGAGUAUAGACCUCUUUAUACUCAUAAGUUUUUAGCCGUUAGAUCUAUUCGUUUGAUCAUUUCUACCAGUUAGAUCAUACUAUUCAAUCAACCACCCACUCAACCCUAGAGGUCUACUAUUAAAUUAACCGAAAAACACUAUCAUCCUAACCGUACAUCUUUUAAUCCAACGGUCGAAAACUUAUGAGUACAAAAUCUAGAGUAUUUGAAGUACAUCUUUUAACCGAAAAACACUAUCAUCCUAACCGUACAUCUAGAGUAUUUGAAGUACCUAGAAAAUAAAUUUUAUGAUUUUACGAUAUCAUUUGCCUAGUGAACGAAGGGGCUCAAAAUCAACGGUUGAAAAUAAAAAUCUUACAAAAUGUAAUAAUAUGACAUUAAAGUUUUAAAUCAAAGAUAUUGAUCUUGUUUUAUAUAGUAUAAAGAAUUUUCUAUCAAAAUUUCAUGUGAUUUGGAUAUUUCUACACCAUUAAACUUGCAACCGGCUCACCACGGCCAUUAAAAUUAUUGAUUUUGAGGCCCUUCGAUCACUAGGCAAAUGAUAUCGAAAAAUCACAAAAUUUUUUUUCUAGAUACUUCAAAUACUCUAGAUCAACUUUAACAGAGCCGAUCGUCGAUUCGAAAGUCUGAACAUCGAAAACAACUUGGAAGCACGGAAGGCUCCGUGCUUCUUGGUACUAUUAAGUUUUCUACCGUUAGAUCUACCCAUUGAUCAUUUCCACCCGUUAGAUUAUACUAUUAAACCAACUACCCACUCAACCCUAGGGGACCACUAUCAUCCUAACCACACAUCUAUUCAUCCAACGGCCGAAAACUCAAUAAUAUCAAGAGCUUGGUACUAUUAAGAGUAUAGUAUAGUGUAUAUAUAUAUAUAUAUAUAUAUAUAUAUAUAAUCCACCUAUAAUAUUGUUACUAAGACAUUUAAUGUCUACUGUUAACUUUUUAUCCUUAAAUCUAUAAUAUAUCACUCCAUGCCCUACAUUAUAUAUGUAUAUCCUAUGAAUAAUAGUGAGCUUGUAAUACUAUUGAUAAUGUGGGACUAGUGUUUAAUUACUACCAACUUUUUUGAAUAUUGAAUUUCUAGCGCUUAGUGAGGAUUGACAGAAUAAUAAUAUUUUAAGGACGUGUUUGAUUCGCUUCUUUUUUACCUUGAAAUUGGAAUGGGAAUGAGUGAAUCCGUUUGUAAGUGUUUGGUACGUGGGAGUUCCAUUCCGAUUCCGAUUCCCCAGUGGAAUGGGAAUCGCUCAAUCACCCCUUUUUUCAAUCCGGCCUAGAAGGCCGGAUUGAAAGUUGAAUCCUGACGGAAUGGAUAUUUAUUCGGAUUAAAUUUAUUUUUUUAAUUUUUUUAAUUAAAAUAUGAGUUAAAAUUUAAAAAUUAAAUAUAUAAUUUUAAAAUUUAAUUUGAACUUAAAUUAAAAAUUAAAAUUUAAUCAAGUAUUUCGAAUCUAACUUAUGAAUUUGAAUUUAAAUUAAAUUUUAAUUUAUAUAAAGUUCAUUCAAAUUUUAUUUCAAACUUAAAUUAAAUUUAUGAAUUCAAAUUAAAAUUAUAAUUAUAAUUUUAAGUUUGAAUUUGAAUAAAUCAAAAUUUAGUUUCGUAUUUUGAAUUAUCCACUCAACUUCAAAAUUUAUUUAUUUUUUUAAAAAAAUAGAUUUAAAAUUUUGACAUUAUUUCAAAAUUUUGAUGUAAAUUUUUAAUAUUUAAUAUUUAAUUUGAAUUUAAAUUAAUAUAUUAUAAAAAUAAUGUUAGUAUAUUAAUUUGAUUAUGUUUUUAUAUCCAUCUGAACCAAACACCGACAAUGAGAAUAAUUUAUUCCGAUUUCGAUUCAGGUGAUAAACCAAACAAAAUUAGGUAAUGAGACAAAAUUAGGUAAUGAGUCAUUCCGAUUCCGUUUCUAGCUUAUUUUGAUUCCGAUUCCGAUUCCGACUCCGACUAAGAGUUAAAAAGUAAAUAAUAUAUAAUUUUCAAUAUACUAUUAAUAAUAUACUAGCUCAAAUUCUAUUAAUAGUAUUCUAUUUGUACUACACGUGUCCUAGUUGUUCUAUAUAUAGUCCAGUAUACUUGUUGCAAGGCUAGCUAGUGAUUACACCAUAAAAAAUUAUAUUUUAGGCAACACUUUUUAAAUAACGCUCUAUUCUAACAUCUUUAAUAUUUGGCAUAUGCCAAAUAAGCAUUGCUAAUAAAUAUAUUUUUAUCAAAUGCUGAUAAAUUUUGUUUGAUGCUAUAUUAAUUAAAGCGCCGGUAUAUUUAUCCCAGUAUGUUAACUUAAAGAAUCUUUGCUCGACGCUUUUAUAAGUAUCGAAAUUAUUCUUACCGAUGUUUUAAAGCGUCGUUAGUUAUUAUUUAAAAUAUCUAUAAAUGUAAGAUUUUUUAUAAUGUUAAUAAUGCCCAAACAAUAUUAAAACCCUAAAACGCAAUACGUACUAUAGGAAUAAUCAGUUAUCUGUUGGCUAAAUCCAAAUCAAUAAAAUUUAUGUGAAGCUCUAGAUAGUCCUAUAUAUAAGAUAUAUUAGGGCUAAAAUUCUUAACCCAGCUAUGCUAUUUUUGGCGAUGGCUAGACCCUAAAUAUUAAGAGAGUUAAGCAUGCUAUGAUUAGAGUAGUGCUAAGAUGGUAACCCCCUUAGAAAGUGGAGCGUCACAAUUUAUCUUUAUAAAUAAUUAUUAAAACUUUUAUUUUAGGGUUAAUUUUAUAUAGGUUCUUAUAAACAUAUCGAAUAACAAAUAUAUCCCUAUAAAGUUCAACUUUCCAUAUUUAUCUCUCUGGUUUCUGAUUUGUUACUGUCGGAGCACUGUUUAUUUUUUAAUUGAAGAUAUGUGCAAUGACAUUUUUGUCAUCAUAAAUUAAUAUAUCCCUCCAAAAAUUCUAACUAUUAGGAUUAUACAGUAAUAUCCUUUUAAAAAUUUUCAUUUCCAAUGGUCAUCUUUCUAUCUUUCUACCAUCACAAAUAAUAUAAUAAGAAUGAAAAGAUCAAUUUAUCUCAUUAAUUAUAAGGAUUAAGUAUUUUACCUAUAAUUAACUAUACUUUUUUAACAGAUCCUAACAGCAAGAGUACAUGUGAAAAUAUUAAGAUUUUUGUAGAAAUAAAUAUAAAAAAUUAAAUUUUAUCGAAAUAUAUUUUUUAUUCAAUAUAUUUACAGAGAGCUGUUUGAAAUUAACUCUAACUCUAUAUUUUUUUCAGAGAAAAAAAAAAAGAAAAAAAGAAUUGCAUGUGAUUGGGGCUUACAAUUUUGGCCAAAGCUACGCAGGCUUUUUCACUUUUCUACGACCCACCACCAUCUCAUUGUCAAUCUAAAAACAAUACCCAAUUACUCCCCCACUGUAGCCACUGGGAGCCCCACUUUACUGCAUGCUUUCACUUUAAUUAUCCCAUACAUUCCUGUUUCCUGUACAUGAGAUUUUCGGUGAAUGAUAGAUGGUGAGAUUAUUGCCUGCGCCUUGUGCAUGCAUGCAUGAUUUAUAUAUAGAUACACCACCUACAAUACACGCAUUUUUUUCAUAAAUUAUAUCCACAUUUCAAAAUUACAGGUUUCCAAUUAAGACCUAUUUUGUAUGCAUUAAUAUGUAUAUUUUUUAGAGAUUAACAUUCUUUGAUUCAUGAAGGUGGAUACAGAUCAGAUACCUAUAUAUAUAUCUUAUAUACUAUUAAUAUAUAUAAGGAGAGGAGAGAGAGAGAGAGAGACGAUGAGAAGAGAGAGAGUCCGGCUACUACUAGAGCAGAGAGGAGAGAGAGGAGUCCGGCCACUAUACUAUUAGAUGAGUCACGAUUCGCAACUCGUACUCAAAGUUAUUUUCGAUGAUAGAGCUUCCUGAAUUCGACGAUCCACACCGUUCAACGUUAUUUACAGCAUUUAAAAUUCUAAAAAUCAAAUUUAUAAUUUUUUGACUUAUUUACCUUACGAUCAAGAGGUCACAAAUUGAUAAUUUUAACGGCCGGUAUGGAUACUUGCUAGUUUAACGGUGUAAAAAAUUGAAAUUUGUUGAAUUUUUGAUUAGAAAUUCUAUUCACUACAUAGAUAAAGAUCAAUAACUCCGAUCUUGAAUUGAAAGGAUCGAUAUCCUUUUCUAGGAUGUCGUUCUGAUUUUGACCAUUCAUUUAUGCCACUUGAGGACUUUAUUAUGAUUUCGAAAAUUUACGAAUAUUAUUUUCUAAAAUUCAAGUACUCUAGAUCAUAUUUAAGCAGAGUGGAUCGUCAAUUCGGAAGCUCCAUCAUUGAAAACAACUUAUGAGUACGAUGACCUAUAUACUCAUAAAAUAUAGUAGCCACCUCCUAUAUAUAUAUAUUAUAUAUAUAUAUUAUAUACUUAUAUAUAUAUAUAUAGAGUUGGACUGCGCUACUAUUAGUAGCAAAAUCUCAUUGUUUAUCAAUUCUUUUAUUAUUUCUAACCAUUGGAUUAAAUACUAUAACAGUGGGGACCGACUCCAAUCCUAGGCGAACCAUUCACUUCUAACCGACUAAUAUCAUCCUGGACUCCAAUAAUUUUUUCAUGCCAAGGUUAAAAGUUUAAUAGCAAAAAGAGCGUUUUUACUAUUUAAUAGUAUCCAAGCCUAAUAUAUAUAUAAUAUAUAUAUAAUAUAUAUUAUAAUAUAUAUAUAUAUAUUAUAUAUAUAUAUAUAUGCUUUUCUCAUAAAAAAUCCACUUAUUUUGGGCUUUUGCAAAAUGGGUCACCUUUUUCGUUUUUACAGAUUCGUCCGCUUUUUCAGCAAACUGACCAAAAUACCCUUAUUACUUUUCUCUAUCCUCUUUCUCUCUCCUCCUUCGUUUUCUUUGUCGUUCUUUUUUUUUUCUCCGCCCGAAAAAAAAAGGCGGGACCGGUGGCGCCUUCUGCUUCACCGUCCUCCCUCUUCACCAUCCUUCUUCACGUCGGCCCUGCUCCUCACCCUCCUCUUCCACCGCCGCGACCCCUCCUCCCUACUCGCCGCGGAUAUUCCCAACCGAUCCCCGUCGCGCGGCUUGGCAAGCGGCCGCGCGAACGGUGGGUCGGGCUGGAUGCGGAGAAGAAGAUACACGGCGAAGAAGUAAAGAGGGAGCGGCAAGCGGCAGGGCGCAGGAGGGGAGGCGAAAGCGCAACCUGGCGCCGCACAAGCGCCGCGCGUGUUCUUCUCAUCGAUGCGCUACCCGCUCUUCCGCCGGCCGCGGCAGAAGCCGCGCGACACAGCCGCCUUCUGCUAUCCACGCACUGACGUCGCAGACGCCGCGUAGCUGCGCGACCCCAGCCGAUCCCGUCCCGCCCAGCGGCCGCGUUGCGACGUGGGGUCGGAUCUGUUUCUAUUUUAAAACUGCACAUCUUAACAGAUAUAUACUGCUUCUCCUUGUUGCACUGUUUCUCCUCUUGUUGCAUGUUUCUCCUGGUUUAAAGAGGAAGAAACAGUGCAACAAGAGGAGAACAGUGCACAAGAGGAGAAGCAGUAUAAAUAUCUCUUAAAUAGGUAACAGUUUAAGAUAAAUGGGUGCGUUUUUUUUCUUAUUGCACUAUUUUUUCUCUUGUAUACACUAUUUUUUAUUUUAAAACUACACAUCUUAAAGAAUAUUUAUACUGUGUUCGCUCUUGUUGCCCACUGUUUUCUCCUCUUGUUGCGCACCUAUUUCUCCUCCAUUAAGAGAAUAAUUAUACUUCUCCUCUUGUUGUCACGUUUUUCUCUUGUUGCACUUUUUCUCUCUUUAAAAGAUGAGAAACAGUUGCACAAGAGAAAAAACAGAUGCAACAGAGGAGAAGCAGUAAUAAAUAUCUCUUAAUGAGUGCAGUUUAAGAUAAUAUGUGGCUGCAGUUUUUUCUUCUGUGUUGCAUAAUUUCUCUCUUUAAUUACACUAUUUUUUAUUUAAACUGACAAUCUUUAACAGUUUUUAUAGCUGUUUCUCCUCUUGUUGCACUGUUUCUCCCUCUGCUGCACUGUCUUCUCCUCUUUAAAGAGGAAAAAACAGUGAACAAGAGGAGAAGCAGUAUAAAUAUCUUUAAAUGAUGCAGUUUAAGAUAAAUCGGGGCAGUUUUUUUUCUUGUUGGCACCAUUCUCCUCUUAUUACACAUGUUCUUUAUUAUUUUAAAACUACACAUUCUUUAACAUGAUUGUUAUAUGCUUCUCCUCUGUGUGCACUGUUUCUCUCCUUGAGGAGAAAACAGUGCAACAAGAAGGAAGAAGCAGUUAUAUAAUAUCUCUUAUAAUGGUGUGCCAGUUUAAAUAAAAACUAUGUACGAACAGAGGAGAAAUGAUGCAAACAAGCAGAGAAACGGUGCAACAAAGAGGAGAAACAGUGCAACUUUCAUUUAAAUGAGUGUAAUUUUUAGUUUUAGUGGGUGGCUAGUUUAUAUCUGAAAUGUGCAAUAAGAAGAGAACAGGUGUAAAUAUGCUUUCAAAGAGUGUAAUUUUUAAUUAAAAAAGUGUAUUUUUAUUUUAAAGCCUACAAGUUUACAUCUUAAGUGAUCAACUUUAAUCUUUUUUUUGUAGUUAACGAUACAAUUUCAUAUUACAUCCUUUUUUAUAUAAAUUUUUCAUCUUUAUUUUUUUUCUGUUUUUUUUUUUGGCACCUCCUGUCAAUAACCACGCGGCAUUCUGUCGGUACGACGCCGCUAAAUGACCCCCACUCCGAAGGCUGGAGCAGCGCCGCAAGUGAUCUCCACCGGUUCGCGUGCGUGUCGCGAAGAGCUAAUCGCGUCCGGGUCGUCGCAGCCAGAGAAGGAGGGAGAAGGAGAGACUGGAGAGGCAGGGAAGAGCGACGAGAGCGCGUCGUCGGAAACUUGGAGGAGAGUCAGAGUAAGAAAGAGAAAGAAAAUAUGAAAUAAAAAUAAAAGUCAUAGCCGGCCUUAGGGGAUCGGAUCAGGAAGGUGGAGGCGCCGCGUCACGCCGCUCUGAUCUUCGCCGCUCUCUGGAAAGGAGUUAAAUAUAAAGAACGAGAGAAAGAGAAAAGAAAAGAUAUAAGCGGACCUCCGCUCCGUCUUCGCCGCUCUCAGCGAAGAAAAAGAAAAAAGAACGAGAGAAAAAGAGGAAGAGAGAAAGCAGGAAAAGUAGAGAAGGUAAGAGGUAUUAUUGGUGUCUGAAAAGCGCGGACGAAUCCGCAAAAGCCAAAAGAGAUGGCCCGAUUUUGCAAAAGUCAAAAUAAGUGAAUUUUUUAUGCAAAUUGGCCUAUUAUAUAUAGUAUAUAUAUAUAUAUAUAUAUAUAUAUAUAUAAAAGGGAGGACAUGGAGUGCAGCAACAAGAUGAUGAUGAUACUAUUAUUCAUUACCUAUGGAAUCCGUCAGAACCGUCGACACCGAGCGAGCAGCAAAAUUGGUCCAUGAGCAAUGCUUUCUGAUAUAUUCUCGUCGCAUUCGACAAAAGUUGUGUCCUAUACUAGCAUAAUCAGCGUAAUACACUCGCCAAAUUGACCUGUAUUGCAUAUAUAUAUAUAUAUAUAUAUAUAUAUAUAUAUAUAUAUAUAUAUGAGUUGGACUGGGCUACUAUUAGUAGCAAAAUUCCAUUAUUGCUACCAGUUUUUUAGCCUUUAGAUCAACUCUUUUUAUUAUUUCUAACCAUUGGAUUAAAUACUAUAACCCAGUAGGGACCACUCAACCCUAGGGGGACCACUCAACUCUAACCGACUAAUAUCAUUCUGACCCUACAAUUUUUCAUCCAAGGGUUAAAAAUUUGAUAGCAAAAAGAGCAUUUUACUAUUAAUAGUAUUCCAGCAUGAUUCUAUAUAUAUAUAUAUAUAUAUAUAUAUCUGUAGUUUCCGAAUCAGCGAUUACGCCUUGUUGCAUGCGGACUGAUUUGGCGAGCCAAUUCGGCGAGAAUAGCACUGCUCUUUAUAAUAUAAAAACUUCAAGAGUGAGGCUGGUAUGCUUCUGCAAGUACGGAGUGUUUCGUGUUUUCAAGUCGUUUUCGAUAUUGGGACUUUUGAAUCGACAAUCAGCUCCGUUAGAUUUGAUUUAGAACAUUUUAAGUAUUUAGAAAAUAAAUUUUGCGAUUUUUUGAUAUCAUUUGUCUAGUGAUCGAAGUGGCUCAAAAUUAAUGGUUAAGAAUAAAAAUCUUACAAAAUAUGAUGAUAUGAUAUUAAAAUUUUAGAUCAAAAAUAUUGAUAUUAUUUUAUAUAAUAUAAAAAAUUUUCUAUCAAAAUUUUACGUGAUUUGGAUAUUUCUACACCGUUAGACUUGCAAACGGUUCACCACGGCUAUUAAAAUUAUUGAUUUUGAACCCCUUCGAUCACUAGGCAAAUGAUAUCGAAAAAUCACAAAAUUUAUUUUUUAGAUACUUAAAAUACUUUAGAUCAAGUCUAAUGGAGCCGAUCGUCGAUUUGAAAAUUCCAAUAUCGAAAAUGACUUGAAAAUACGGAAGGCUCCUUACUUCCAAAAACAUGCUAGCCUCACUCAAACUUUUAUGCUUAUACACAUAUUUUUAAUAAAUUAUGAAAAAAUAAUAAUAAUUUGUAAUAUAAUGUCAAAAAAAAAAAAAAAAAAAAAAACAUUACGGAAGAGCUGCAGUUAUAGUGCUUGUGAAAGCGCUGGUGACAAGGUGAACAAUUGAGUUGGUGGUGUGUGCCAUCAAUAGAUGAGUGGUGAAUACAAUUUGGGUGGGGCCCAUCCGAGUCAGCACGGAUGGACGUAUCAGGCACGAGGGUACAUUUCCCACGUGACGCCCACUUGCAUCCAUUUACUGCGAGCUGUUUCGUGGACCUGGUCUACCACAUCCUCUCAGAAGUAUUCUACAAAGACCUCGUGCACCGGAACCACUCGUACCAAAUACAAAAAUGCUAUAUGCCUCCCCAGUCACAUAGAAUAAGAAAAAAUUUAUCGUACAGAUCCUUUCAAAUAAAUACAGUAAAUAUUAAAUUUAUUUUUAUAAAUUUUAAUUUUUAUAAAUUAUUUCUAUAAAAAGUACUGAUAUUUUUAAAUAUAUUUCUGUCAUUAGAAUCCGUUAAAAAAAUUUAAUUGACCAUAGGUCAAAAACUUAACCCAUAUUAGUUUUUGACAUCUUUAUCCCUCUUAAAGUAUAAUUUGGUAUUGGCAUAAUUUGGUAUUGAGCUCUAUCUAAUACUAUUAGAUAAAAUGGAGUUGAGAAAAAAACAUAUAGGAAUAUGCUUCUGCGUUUUCCGAUGGGGCCGCAGAAAAUAUAUUGUAACCGACUCAACGCGAUAUGCGAAACACAAUCUCUCCGCAAUCCCAAAAAAAGCCUAAAUUAUACCGUUAUAAUUUUUGAAAGAAUAUAUUUAUGAUGACAAAAUUAAAAAUAUAAACGGUUAUCUAACGGUAAUAAAUCAAAAGAAUUUAUUUAAAAAUAUUAAAAUUUUUAUAGCGAUGUAUUUAUUAUUUACUAUAUUUAUAAAAAUAUGUACGAAAUUAGUCCUAAAAUAUAAUAUAAAAUUUAUGCAAUUUAAUCUCAUCGACAUAAUUUUUUACCGCAGUUCCUUAAAUUGCACAGCGCAUCAAGUAGUGCAAAUUUUUACGUAUUGUUAGUUUAAUAAAAAUAUAUUACAUCCGGUAUAUAUAACCUCGUGUGCAAAAAUUCUUACACACUGACAAGAAUUGAUCUCGCCGACCAUAAAAAUUUUAAUAAUUUAAAAACCCAAGUUGAACCGGCCGGUUUGACUGAUCCGACUGUGAUCCAGUGUAUAAAACAAUUUGUUUUAAUUUUUUGAUUCAGGUAAGAUUAAAAAUCGCUUUGAACCGUCUGAACUGGUGGUUCAACUAUUGAAUCGAUGAACUGGUUCGAUUUUUAAUCAAAUUGACAGAAUUGUUUCACUCAAGUCGUAUUAAAAUUAACGGCUGAAAAUCAACUUAACUGAUUUUAUUUUUUAUUCACAUGGAUUAGUGUUAUUAAAUAUGAAAGUGAAAUUUUUAUUUACUUAAUUUGAUAUAGAAAUUUGCAUUUUAUGGUUAAGUAUGAUACUAAAAUUAUAAUAUAUAUUUAUAUAAUAAAAUAAAAAAUAAUAAUUAAAUAUUUAUGAUGUCAAAUUUAUGUUAUUGGUUAACAUAUUCAUAUUACUAUUUGAUUUGAUUUUUAAAUUAUUAUAAAAUUCGUUUCGAUGUUAAAGCACACGGGAUUGGAGAACUCGUGCCUCCACUUUGAUUAGACUAUUCACCUUGCCAUUAUCUAAUGUUUGAUAAAAAAUUCUUUAAACUAUCCAAUAUCAAAAUGAAUACUUUUUAUUUUUGAAUUUUAGGGGCUUCUACAUUUUUGACUGUCCAUUUUGCAGCUACUUGAUGAACUAAAAAAUAAUUUUAAAACUUUAUGAAACUUGAUUUUUUAUAAGAUUCAAAUACUUUAGAUUUGAUUUAAUUUGAACGGUAUGGAUCAUCAAUUCAUAUGUUCUAUCAUUAAAAAUAAUAUAAUAGUGCCAAAACCUGAAUGCUCUUCUGAUCUGUUGAGUUUACUUAUUUUAUAUUAUGAAAUCAACAUGAGAUUCAUUAAUUCCGAUAGUUGCUAGUAAUUUUACAGGAAUCGAAUUCCGAUUCCCUACAAUCGAAUGACUCGAUCUAUUUAUGAUCCGAUACGGAUUUGAAUCUUCGAUUUGCCCAUUUCAAAAUAAACUGCUCAAAACUAUUAUUCAUAGACACCUCUUCCUACUCUCCCUUCAUCACUCCCCUCCUACUUAAUCAAAAUCCACUUUCAAAAUUCUAUAUGUUCCAAUUGUACAUCCAUUCCGAUAAUAAAUCAAAUAUUCUUCGAUUAUUUUUCACAAAUUAUUUUUUUUUUUCACUCUAAUACAAUCAGAUUUUAUUUCUCAUUUCUAUUUCAAUCACGACUCAAGCAUACUUUAUUCUAACCCAUCUCACUCUCAAUAAAUUAAUUAUAUAUGAAUUUUUUUUAAAGAAAUGCUUUUUUAAAAAAAUAAAUAGUCAACAGUUUUGAACUUGAAAGCAUACUCAAGUCAAACUACUCAAAUAUUGACAACCUAGCUACUAACUGUAUUGUGUUUCAAAAGGUGACAUACUUGUUGUUAACUUGUAUGAAGAUUUUUUCAUACAGUUAAGAUCUAAAAAAUACACUAAAAUUUUUUUAUAGUGUAUUUUAAUAAAAAAUUAUUUUUAUUGUGUAUCUCACUUCAUAUAAAUUUCUACCUGGACAAAUUAUAAUUUUGAGUUAGCUAUAAAAAUGGUAGUAAAUUGAAGAGUUGAGAAACACGAUUAGAAUACGGUGUAUUUAAUUUGGGACAAAAAUUUUAUGGGCACCGUGCCCAAACAAUUUGUUUGGACACGGUGCCCAGAUGUGUAGCGGCGCCCAUCCGCACCUUCAAAAAAAAAAAAAAUAGUGGGCUCGGUUUUUAGGAAUAUAGAGAAAGAGAGGGGGAAGGGAGGGUGCAGAUGGGCGCCGCUGUCCCCAUCCAGGCACCAUGUCCAAACAAAUUAUUUGGGCACGGUGCCCAUUAAAUUUUUGUCCUCUAAUUUGUUUGUGCAACUUUUAUUAUGGAGAAAUUGUUAUUAAAGCAACUUUAAUGUUUAGUCCAUAGCAGCAUUAUGCUCUCAUUGUUGUCUUGUGCGUCGUAAAACUAAGUGCGCAUUUGGUCGCGAGGUUCGUAAUGUUGUUGGGUCAAAACUGAGUUGAGUUAGCUACACAAAGUACACUAUGUAUUAUCUCUUUAUAAGGUUUCGUUUGAGAUUACAGGAAGAUUGCAUUACGUGCGGUGGAAAAAAGAGACAAGAAAAAUUAUGUUUGUUUUCAUUAGUAAUAUUAUGUUUCGCAUAUUGCGAUUAAUCAGUGACGAUAUAUUUUGUUGUCCCUAAAUAGCGAUAAAUAGGCUUUAACACCUAAGUCUAAACUAGAAAGAGAAAUUUUAUUUUAUCUAAGAAGUUGGAUGCGCAAACCUUAUUUUUUUUAUUUUAUAUAUACAAAUACACAGGUGAGAAUUUGAGAUUGGAGGCUCGUAGCUGUUUCGUACAUCGCGCGAAAGCAGCGGAUCAGGAACGCACUCGGAUUCGAAUCAGACAUUGUGGGUCCCACUCGGGCCCGUCCGUACGAUAACUGGGGCCACGUGGCAGGAGGCAAGUGGCGGUGGUGGUGACGGGGAUCUCUGUGACCUAGAUCCGCGCUGGGACCCACGUACCGAGAUGGACCAUCCAACUGGAGGGCGACACCUAAGCACUCUCGGAUGACGAUUGGAUCGCGUCGGAAAUUGUGGGGCGCAUCCACCGAGGCAACGGGGGUCGAUGGAGAUAGUGGGACUGGGAAUUGAAUGGGUGUUAAUCACGGUCCCCAAACAAUUUAAAAAAAAAAAAAAAAAACAUGAAAAGAAGAAACAACACUUAUAAGUGGGAAUGUACGGAGACCCCUCUGCUAUACGUAAUUUACAAAUAGACCCCUCUACUUUUAAUUUUGGUAGAAGCCUAUGAAUCUUACCUGAACUAUGGCUAAUUUGAUUCCACUGCUCAAUCUUUUAAUUUUUAAAUUUAUUUAAUUUGAAUCAGUAAACGGAAUAUUAAUUGCAAAAUCCAAGUUAAUUAUUUAUUUAAAAUAUAUUAAUUAAAUCGGUAGAAAUAAAUAAUAUAUUUUAAUUUUUAAAGUAAAAGUAGCAAUAACAAAAUUGAAAAAUUAUAUAGUAAAAUAAAAUCUUGAAAGAUUGGAUAACAUUACAAUAAAAACGGUCUAUAGCGACAGUUUUAAAUGUCGGUACAGAUCAAAAAAAGUAUUGCUGGCUAAAUUACCGAUAUUUUUAAAAACUGUUGUUAUAUGUGGGGUCGCUAGGUAUAUAGUGACAGUUAAAAAGUGUCGCUAUAACCUAAAAAGAGUGCUGCUAACUUAUCAAUACUUAUUUAAGUAUUUAGCAACUGCUGGAAUUCUACCUCGUUGGCUGCGGUAGCGGAGGAGGACGAGAGGAAGGGAUCUUCGUCUAAAACUUCAAUCGAUUGAGUGAGGUGAGAAGGGGAAAUGGUAAUCGAUUUUUCUUUUUUUUUUCUUUUCUGUUUGUAAUCGGGCCGAAUGGGUUGGGUGGGGUGAGUUAAGUAGAGUAACCUUUUAUUUUUGGUUGGAUUGGACUUUAUAUUUGAGCAUUAGUAGAUUUUUUAAAAAAUUUUGGCAUAAAUGGGACACUUACACAAAAGUGUCCCAAACAUGUGUCCCUAUAACCUAAUUCUGUUGUAGAGUAAAUAAAUCAAAAUCAUCUAAAAUCCAGGUAAGAUUCAUACAUUUUUAUCUUUAUUUUUAAACUAAGAAACUAAGAACCUUCCAACUGCUAAUUAGGCUAUUUUCGCUGGUUAUUGAAUUGAGGGCGAAAUUCUACUAGGCCAUCAAAUUCUAAUUUCUUAUUAUUAAAAAUAUUUAAAUUUAAAUUAGUUUUCUCCCGCCAUUUGUAUCAUCUUUUACAGCUGAUCACGCAAGUCAGAGAUUCGAUAGCCGCAUGUGAUGACGCAGAAGUAGAAAUUCAUACGGCGAACUUCCAAAUUUUGAUUCGAUUGUAAAUAUAGUAUGCGCAUUUGGUGGACGGAAUAAGAGACUAUAAAUAAAAACUAAAAGGAAAAUCAAGAUAAAAAAAUUAUAUAAAAAUAGCUUUUCAAGAGAUUUUUUUUUUUUCAAAAUAAUGCAUUUUCUUACAAUUACUACCGGGAGAACUCGGAAAUAUUAUUUUAACUAGUGUAAGGCACACUCAAUACACAAUUUACAUUGUAAAAAUAUAAUUUACAAAGAAUAUUAAUUUGGUCAUUAUUUCACAUCGAAAAAUUUAUAUUUUCAAAGACUAAUUUUAUUUUACGAAAAAUAUUGACACAAACUCUCCUCUGAAAAAUUCUUUAUCAACAAAUAAUUUGUACUAUCCCUGGUAUUCUGUAGCUGUGAGAUUUCAGCAUCUGAGACUUGUCGACAUAUCUGGAGAGUGUUGGAACAAGUCCAAGUCAGGUUGGCGCGAAAUAGACGCAAAUCGGACUUAGUGUGACGCGAGAGUAGGAAUUUAGCAUUGAAAUCUGUAAAUUGCAGAUUUUCAGCAUUUAGUAACGGUACCACACAGGGGAGUACCGAUAGCCCUAUAUAGAUUUUCCGACUGCUGCUUUCGAGUUGCACAUUCUACUACGGGGUAUCGGUACGGCAUCAACCUGAUAUCGGUACUCCAGAGUAGGUGAGGGCCUUUUAGCCAUUUGAUGUUUCAUUCAAACCAAUACUUCCUCAGCCUUCUUAUACGUAUAGAGAGCGUGGAGAAGGAGUUUUGGCUUGCUGUUCUCUUUCUCCCACUGGUUUUUGAUCGCGCUCGAGGUGGUAGUCGCGAUUGAAGCUCGGAUCGACACCGACGUCGCGCCGGGGAGCCGUUCGAGCCCGUGGACGUCGUAGUUGCAUCAUUGGGUGGCUGGGCGAGCGCGUGAUUCCACUUCAUUCGACUUUCCGGACUGUCGGGUACCAUUGUGGUUGACGGUGGACCGAGAUUGCUAUUUUUGCAUCUGUUUGUGCCGAGGGCACGUUGAUUAUGGUUAUUUGACCAGUUAGACCCUUCUGUUUUGAUUAUAACCUAUGAGAGCCUGAUUGAGCUCGACAGAGACACGCUUGCAUACUCGGUUGGGUAGCACUCACGAGUGCCACUUCGAAGUCGGAGCUAGUGCCACAGGGUAGCAAAGUGAGAAUGCACGAAACCACAGGGGGUUUUUUUGAAGUUUUCCCAAAAAACUAAUAGCACUAAUAAUUUAGUGCUAUUGAUUGUAUUCCAGCCUAGUUCUAUAUAUAUAUAUAUAUAUAUAUAUAUAUAUAUAUAUAUAUAUAUAUAUAUAUAUAUAUAUAUAUAGGCCAAUUUGCAUAAAAAAUCACUUAUUUUGGGCUUUUGGAAAACUGGGCUACCUUUUUCGUUCUUGCAGAUUCGGUCUACUUUUUCAGCAAACUGACCAAAAUACUCUUAUAUCUUUUUCUCUCUCCUCUUUUUUUUCUCUCGUUCUUUUUUUCUUUCUCUUCCCAGAGAGCAGCGGAGACUGAGCGGAGGCGGCCAAUUUUGUUCGGCACAUCCUUACCCUUGCCCGCACACUACCCACCUUCUCGCAUCCGACCCCGCCGAGGCCGCGACGCGACUCUUUUUUUUUUCUCUCCGAUUCUCCUCCACCGUCUCCGACGAUGACGCCUCUCUCGUCCUUUCCCGUCCUUCUCAUCCUCUCCCUCUCCCUCCUCCUCUAUCGCCUCCGACGACGACACAUUUUCGCCAGCGCCGACGCUGACACCGUGGAGGUUUUUGCGGCGGUGCAGCCUCGGAGCGGGAAGUCCUUACCGGCGUUGUCGCCGGCGCCGUGGCCGUUGGCAGAGGGAUGACAAAAAAAAAUUAUAGAAGAAAUAAGAAAAAAAAAAUAAAGAUAAAAAAUUAUAGACAAAGAAGGAUGAAGAUGAAAUUGUAUCGUUAACUGUAAAAAAAAUUAUAAGUUGCAUUCUUAAGAUGUAAACUGCAGCCUUAAAAUAAAAAUUACUCUUUAAACGAAAAUUACACUAUUUGAAAACUAUUUACACUGUUUCUCCUCUUAAUGCACUCUUUCAGAUGUAAACUGCAUCCAUUAAAAUAAAAUUUACACUCUUUAAACGAAAGUUGCACACUUUGAGAUAUAUUUACACUGUUUCUACUCUUAUUGCACUCUUUGAGAUGUAAGCUGCAACUCUUCAAGAGGUAUUUAUACUGUUUCUCCUCUUGUUGCACUGUUUCUCCUCUUGUUGCACUAUUUUUCCUCUCGUUAUAGUGUUUUUAUCUUAAACUACAAACCUUCAAGAGAUAUUUAUACUGUUUUUCCUCUUAUUGCAAUAUUUUUUCUCUUGUUGCACUAUUUCUCCUCUCGUUACACUAUUUUUAUUUUAAAACUGCACCCUUUAAGAGGAGAAAAAGUGUAACAAGAGGAGAAGUAGUGCAACAAGAGAAUAAACAGUAUAAAUAUCUCUUAAAGGGGUGCAGUUUACGUAUCAAAGAGCGCAAGAAGAGAAGAAAUAGUGCAAAUAUCUCUCAAAGCGUGCAACUUUCGUUUAAAGAGUAUAACUUUCAUCUUAAUGGAUGCAGUUUACAUCUGAAAGAGUGCAAUAAGAGGAGAAACAAUGUAAAUAUCUUUCAAAGAGUGUAAUUUUCGUUUAAAGAGUGUAAUUUUUAUUUUAAAGCUGCAGUUUACAUCUUAAGAAUGCAACUUAUAAUUUUUUUUACAGUUAACGAUACAAUUUCAUCUUCAUCAUUCUUUUCUAUAAUUUUUUAUCUUUAUUUUUUUUUUCUUACUUCUUUAUAAUUUUUUUUUGUCAUCCCUCUGCCAACGGCCACGGCGCCGGCGACAACGCGGCUAAGAACCCCCCGCUCCGAGGCUGCACCGCCGCAGUGACCUCCACGGUGUCUGCGUCGGCGUCGGCGUCGGCGAUGACGAAGAUGCGUCGUCGUCGGAGGCGGCAGAAGAGGAGGGUGAGGGAGAGGAUGAGAAGGACAGGGAAGGACCAGAGAAGCGUCAUCGUCGGAGACGGUAGAGGAGAGUCGGAGAGAGAAAAAAAAAAGAGUCGCGGCGCGGCCUCGGCGGGGUCCGAUGCGAGGAAGGUGGGGGCUGUGCGGGCGAAGGUAAGGAUGUGUCGGAGAAAACCAAAGCAGGCCGCCUUCGCCUCAACCUCCGCCUCCGGCUCUAUCUCUGCCGUGCUCUGGGAAGAGAAAGAAAAAAAAAGAACGAGAGAAAAAAAGAGGAGAGAGAAAAAUGUAUAAGAAUAUUUUGAUCAAUUUGCUAAAAAAGUGGACCGAAUCUGAAAAAAUGAAAAAUGUGGCCCGAUUUUUUCAAAGCCCAAAAUAAGUGAAUUUUUUAUGCAAAUUACCAUAUAUAUAAUAUGUAUAUAUAUAUAUAUAUAUAUAUAUAUAUAUAUAUAUAUAUAUAUAUAUAUAUAUAUAUAUAUAUAUUAUAUAAUAAUAUAUAGUCCAGAUUACUAUGCUUCGGUAGUACAGAGGGCUCCGUCAUCCAAGUUGUCUUUUCGAUGAUGCAAUUCCAAAUUGACGAUCGCUCCAUUAGAUUGAUCAUACACUAUGUGAAAGUAUUUGGAAACUAAAUUUUCAAUUCUUUUUCACGACUACAUUAUAUGUGAUCAAAAGGAUCUCAAAUUGACAAUUUAAUGGCCGAAUAUGGUGUGUUUGUGGUUUAACUGUAAUAACAUCCAAAAUGCGAUGAAAACUUAUAUAGAAAUAUUUUUCACUAUUUAGAAGAAGCAUCAGUUAAUCUGAUCUUAAAUUUUAAAUGUUUUAUCAUCAUUUUUUUAUGAGAUUUUAUUCAGCCGUUCAAUUUUUAGACUACGUUGUUUGAUAGGUAAAUGAUAUAAAAAUAUGAAAUUUUAGGUUUCUAAAUAUCUUUUUAAUAGCCGUAGAUCAAGUCUAACGAGAAAGAAAAAACAAAUCGAUCGUCAAAUUUGGAAGCCGUAUCAUUAAAAACUACUUGGUAGCAUGAGGCCCUCCGGUACCGAUAGCAUAGUUAACCUAGUUCUCUCUCUUCUCUCUCUUUAUAUAUAUAUAUUAUAUAUAUAUAUAUAUAUAUAUAUAAAUAUAUUAUAUAUAUUAUAUAUAUAUAUUAAUAUUUGGUCCGAGCUACUAAUCCUAUUAAUACGAAUGGACCCUUGUCCGAUCAAGUCGUAUUUGAAUGAUCGAAACUUUCAAAUGAUAAUCGGCACCGUUGAAGUGAACUACAAAAUUAGAAAUUUCAGAAACCAAUUUUGUAUAUUUAAAAAUAUUGAUCAAGUUCAUCUUAGAGUUGAACAAUGAAUGGUCUAAAAUGAAUAACCUUCUUAAUAAUAGAGGUAGACUUUCUUAGUUCGUUAAUCCAGAGUUAUCAAACAUUUUACGAUAUUAUAAAAGAAUUUUCUAUCAAAAAUCCAAGCCAAUUUGGAUUGCCUCCACACCGUUAAAACAAGUCAAACAGCUCAUAUAGCCGCAAAAUUAGUCGAUUUUACGACACUUUGAAUCACCAUGUAAACCAUUAUCAAAAUUUAUAAAUUUAGUUCUAGAUUAUUUCAACUCUCUAAAUCAAUUUUAUGGCUCUGAUCAUAUAUCGGAAUCAUCGAAUCUAAGAACAACUUGAUAGGACAAGGCAUCCUAUCCUAUUAAUGGGAUAGAGCUAAUAUAUAUAAAAUUAUUAAAGCUAUAUAUAUAUAUAAUAUAUAAAUUGAUAUAUAUAUAUAUAAUAGUAAGAGCUAGAAUACUUUAAAAGCAGCUAUGAAUUUUGUGAAUCUUUUGAGUUUUGAGCCAUUGGAUGGAGAGAUGUGAGGUUGAGAUGAUAGUGGUAGGUGGUGGUAGGCGGUGGUAGGUGGAAUAGCGUUUGAUCCAAGGGCUAUUAGUAAUCAAGGAGUAGAUCCAAGGAAUAAAAACCUAAUAGCACCAAGGGGAUGAUACUUGUAAAAGUUCAAAUAACAUAAGUGUAAUAACAUAAGUGUAAUAAUGAACAGUAUUACACUCUUUUUAAACCGUUGAUCUAAAUAUAAUCCAAGGAUCGAGGUAAAGCAAUGGCAACUUUUUUAUUUCUAUGUCAAAAUACUCUUCCCUACUCCAUAGGAUGUGACACCACUUUAAGGUUUGUUACUCUAACUAUUUACAUUAAUUUUAUGUGCACUUAAAACAUUCAUUUUUUUUUAAGUGUGAAAGCAUAUAAUAAAGUUUAAUAGUAAAAUAUAUUAUAAAGGGGUUAUUGCUAUAAUUGGCCCUUGAAUUUUACUCUGUUAAAAAUUUCUUAAAAAUUUUAUUUAUUUUAAUGUGAAUUGUUGCAGUCAAUUAAAUUUUAAAUUUUUUAUAAAAUUAAAUUUUAGUGUAUUAAAAUCAAUUGCAACCAUCCAAAAGCAUGGAAAGAAAUAAAAUGUUGAUAAUUUUUUAUCUAAAUAUUGUCAGUUUUUAUAUAAAUUAUUUUGCUAUAAUAAUUUUGCUUAUAUUAAAAAUUAUCAACCAAAGUCUUCUUAGUUAGUAGAUGAAAACUGAUUAUAUAGUGGGUUUACAAUGGAGGAGAAAAAAAAAAGGGAGUGAAAUUCAAGACUACUGCAGUGAUGUCAAAUUCUAUGAAGUAGGGAAGAGUAUUUUAGCAAAGAAACAAAAAGUUGUCUAUUGUUUCAUCUCAAUCCUUGGAUUGUACUUAGAUCUACGGUUCAAAAAAAAUAUAAUACUGUUCAUUAUUAUACUUAUAUUAUUAUUUGAACUUGACUAAUAUAUAUGUAUAUAUAUAUAGAGUUGAGUUAUGAUACUUUUACCAGUAUCACCAUCAUGGUGCUAUUAGGUUUUAAGCCAUUGGAUCUACUUUUUGAUUAUUAAUAGCCCUUGAAUUAAACACUAUUCCACCUACCACCACCUACCACCAUCAUCUCAACCUCACAUCUCUCCAUUCAAGGGCUAAAAAGAUACAAGUAUCACCCCCAUGAUACUUUUACAAGUAUUCUAGCCCUACUAUAU
Molecule: long non-coding RNA, 22972 nt
Filed under: Ananas comosus (pineapple)
Lineage: Eukaryota; Viridiplantae; Streptophyta; Magnoliopsida; Poales; Bromeliaceae
Description: long non-coding RNA (ACOM_LNC025464)
Source: RNAcentral